UCUCCGUAGGUGAACCAGCGGAGGGACCAUUACAGAGUUCAUGUCCUCACGGGUCGAUCUCCCACCCUGUGUUACUAUACUUUGUUGCUUUGGCAGGCCGCCCGCGUGGGCUACCGGCUCCAGCUGGUAAGUGCCUGCCAGAGGACCCCAAACUCUGAAUAUUUUAUUGUCUGAGUACUAUAUAAUAGUUUAAAACUUUCAACAACGGACCUCUUGGUUCUG
RNAcentral lists this unclassified non-coding RNA (222 nucleotides) under plant metagenome. RNAcentral describes it as "partial contains small subunit ribosomal RNA, internal transcribed spacer 1, and 5.8S ribosomal RNA". The record is from RNAcentral.